RNAcentral lists this transfer RNA (87 nucleotides) under Betaproteobacteria bacterium TMED41. Its description in RNAcentral is "tRNA-Leu". It matches the Rfam family "tRNA". From Rfam's summary of the family: Transfer RNA (tRNA) molecules are approximately 80 nucleotides in length. The record is from RNAcentral. Lineage: Bacteria; Pseudomonadati; Pseudomonadota; Betaproteobacteria.
GCCCAGAUGGCGAAAUUGGUAGACGCGCUAGGUUCAGAUCCUAGUGGUGGAGACACCGUGGAGGUUCAAGUCCUCUUCUGGGCACCA